This 466-nucleotide ribosomal RNA is filed under the name uncultured bacterium. Its description in RNAcentral is "partial 16S ribosomal RNA". It matches the Rfam family "Bacterial small subunit ribosomal RNA", at positions 29 to 507 of the family's 1533-position model. The record is from RNAcentral.
AUGAACGCUGGCGGCGUGCUUAACACAUGCAAGUCGAACGGAAAGGCCCAAGCUUGCUUGGGUACUCGAGUGGCGAACGGGUGAGUAACACGUGGGUGAUCUGCCCUGCACUUCGGGAUAAGCCUGGGAAACUGGGUCUAAUACCGGAUAGGACGAUGGUUUGGAUGCCAUUGUGGAAAGUUUUUUCGGUGUGGGAUGAGCUCGCGGCCUAUCAGCUUGUUGGUGGGGUAAUGGCCUACCAAGGCGUCGACGGGUAGCCGGCCUGAGAGGGUGUACGGCCACAUUGGGACUGAGAUACGGCCCAGACUCCUACGGGAGGCAGCAGGGGGGAAGAUUGCACAAGGGGCGCAAGCCUGAUGCAGCGACGCCGCGGGGGGGAUGACGGCCUUCGGGUUGGAAACUCCUUUCGCUAGGGACGAAGCGUUUUGUGACGGUACCUGGAGAAGAAGCACCGGCUAACUACGUG